Molecule: ribosomal RNA, 946 nt
Filed under: uncultured archaeon
Lineage: Archaea
Description: bacterial SSU rRNA
Rfam family: Archaeal small subunit ribosomal RNA
Source: RNAcentral
UUCCGGUUGAUCCUGCCGGACCCUACUGCUAUCGGGGUGGGACUAAAACAUGCUAGUCGAGCGCCUCCAAGCUAUGGUGAAGGCGCGGCGAACGGCUCAGUAACACGUGGCCAACCUACCCUCAGGACGGAGACAACCCCGGGAAACUGGGGCUAAUCCCCGAUAGGUGAGGACGCCUGGAAUGACCCCUCACCCAAAGGACGUUGAAACCAUGCUUUUCAGCGUCGCCCAAGGAGGGGGCCGCGGCCGAUCAGGUUGUUGGUGAGGUAACGGCUCACCAAGCCUUUAACCGGUACGGGCCGUGAGAGCGGUAGCCCGGAGAUGGGUACUGAGACAAGGGCCCAGGCCCUACGGGGCGCAGCAGUCGCGAAAACUCACCAAUUCACGAAAGUGUGAGUGGGCCAUCCCGAGUGCCGUCCGCUGAGGAUGGCUUUUCCUUAGUGUACAAAGCUGGGGGAAUAAGGAGAGGGCAAGUCUGGUGUCAGCCGCCGCGGUAAUACCAGCUCUCCGAGUGGUGGGGAUGUUUAUUGGGCCUAAAGCAUUCGUAGCCUGCUGGGCAAGUCCUCCGUUAAAUCCAACGAUUCAAUCGUUGGGCCGCGGGGGAUACUGUUCGGCUAGGGGGCGGAAGAGGUCGACGGUAUUCUCGGGGUAGGGGUGAAAUCCUAUAAUCCCGGGAGGACCACCAGUGGCGAAGGCUGUCGGCUAGAACGCGCCCGACGGUGAGGGAUGAAAGCUGGGGGAGCGAACCGGAUUAGAUACCCGGGUAGUCCCAGCUGUAAACGAUGCAGGCUAGGUGUUGGCGCGGCUACGUGCCGCUCCAGUGCGGCAGGGAAGCCGUUAAGCCUGCCGCCUGGGGAAGUACGGCCGCAGGCUGAAACCUAAAGGAAUUGGCGGGGGGAGCACCACAAGGGUGGAAGCUUGCGGUUUAAAUUGGAGUCAACGCGGG